GUUAAUGUAGCUUAAUUAAAGCAAAGCACUGAAAAUGCUUAGAUGGAUGCAAGCAUCCCAUAGACA
Molecule: transfer RNA, 66 nt
Filed under: Neodon bomiensis (Bomi mountain vole)
Lineage: Eukaryota; Metazoa; Chordata; Mammalia; Rodentia; Cricetidae
Description: Neodon sp. bo BGI-2019 tRNA-Phe
Rfam family: tRNA
About the family: Transfer RNA (tRNA) molecules are approximately 80 nucleotides in length. Their secondary structure includes four short double-helical elements and three loops (D, anti-codon, and T loops).
Source: RNAcentral